Non-coding RNA from Plectropomus leopardus (leopard coralgrouper), 2478 nucleotides. The record is from RefSeq and is a predicted model, not a curated record. Lineage: Eukaryota; Metazoa; Chordata; Actinopteri; Perciformes; Serranidae.
GGGACAAACAAACGCUGAAGAUGUAAACAAAGAUGUCUCCUCUGGAAACGUUAACAAACGUUCACUAAUUUAUCUCCACACCGCCGACAGGAGGGUCCGCCAUGAGCUCGUUCGCGGGUCGGAUGAAGGAGUAUCCCACCGUGUCUCUGGACCGGUUUGACCGGGAAAACCUGCAUGCACGCGCCUACUUCCUGUCCCACUGCCACAAAGAUCACAUGAAGGGACUGAAAGGACCAAUACUGAAGAGAAAACUGCACUUCAGUCGAACGGUCCGACUUUACUGCUCCUUCGUGACCAAAGAGCUUCUGCUGAGCAAUCCCAAGUACGCUUUCUGGGAGGAAUACAUCGUUCCCUUAGAGCUGGAGAGCCCGACUCAGAUUUCUCUGGUCGACGAGGCGUCUGGAGAGAAAGAGGAGGUCGUGGUCACGCUGCUCCCUGCAGGACACUGUCCCGGCUCUGUGAUGUUCCUGUUUGAGGGUUCUCAGGGGAACGUGUUGUACACGGGCGACUUCAGGCUGGCGGCCGGAGACGUCUCCAGAAUCGAACAUCUGCACUCGGGCAGCAGAGUGAAGGACAUCCAGAGUGUUUAUCUCGACUCCACCUUCUACGACCCGCGAUUCUACCAGAUUCCAACUCGGGAGGUCUGUCUGAACGGGAUCUCGGAGUUGGCUGGAAACUGGAUCAGUCAGAGUCCGUAUCACGUCGUGUGGCUCAACUGUAAAGCUGCGUACGGAUAUGAGUACCUGUUUACCAAACUGGGAGAGGAGUUCAACACACAGAUUCACGUCAGAAGUUUGGCGAUGUUCCAGAAGAUGCCGGAGAUCCUGAGCUACGUGACCACUGACCGCAGGACGCAGAUCCACGCCUGUCGACACCCGAAGGACGAGGAGUUUUUUCAGGGCAGCCGGCUGCCGUGUGGCUGCACGGCGUCUGACGGGACGCCUCUUCGUAUCAUCAGCAUCAAACCGUCCACCAUGUGGUUCGGAGAGAGAAUGAGGAAAACCAACGUCAUCAUUAAAACGGGAGCGAGUUCCUUCAGAGCCUGCUUCAGCUUCCACUCCUCGUACUCAGAGCUGAAAAGCUUCCUCUCCUACCUGCAGCCAGUCAACAUCUUCCCCAGUGUGAUCCCUCUGGGUCGCACGCUCUCUGAGGUCACACAGAUGUUGAAGCUGAUGUGCAGGAAACAGUCGGAUCAAACUGCGACUGUGUACAAACCUCUGGGAGUCCUCAAACGCUGCAAGGUGGAGCGACCCACGUAUGAUUCAGACAGCGAUGAAGAGCUGUUUGACGAGCUGGACCUGGUGCCAGUGAGGAAGAAGAUGUCGCUACACCAGGAAAUAAAAACCGUGAGUCCUGAGGAAACGGCGCCCCCUGUGUCUAUGGUGGAGUCUUUUCCUCUGACGGUCACGGACACGCAGUCGGCGUAUGUGGACUAUGUGGACUGCACCGAGUCCAACGAUGAAGAGGAGGGCCACGAAGAGGAGGAGGAGGAGGAAAACCUGAUGAAGGAGGAAAAGGACAAAAACGCGUCUGUGGUCGAAGGAGGUGGCUCCUCUAAUCCUCCGAAGUGGGAGGAUUUCUUCACCAUGGAGACGCUGAUUGACAGCCAGGGCAGCCUCAGCAGCCAAUUACAAUCCUGCUGCUCCGUCCCAAGCCCCACCCCCUCCAAAAUGACCGGAUCACAAACGCCCGACCUGUUCAGCGACGACGAGCAAACGCCCGACAACCACGACGACAACUUCAGUCUGACCCUGUCCGCCUCGCUGUCCAACCAUUCCUCCCAGAACCAGGAGUCGUCUCUGCCCGACACUUUAAUCCUCCAAUCAGAGCCGGCGGGCCAACAGGGAGACCCGAAGAGCAACGACCAAUCAGAAGCAGUGGGGCGGGAACAAGAAGACUCGAAGAGCAACGACCAAUCAGAAGCAGCGGGGCGGGAACAAGGAGACCCGAAGAGCAACGACCAAUCAGAAGGAGCGGGGCGGGAACAAGAAGACUCGAGGACGAAUGUCGUGUUUCAGGAGAAGGAGAGAGAUGUCCCAUCAGAGGUGGAGGAGCUCUCAGAGUCUCAGGUGUCGUCGGACUUUGACGUCCCCUGCACGCCCGAGUCCAAAGUGCCACAACCCGACGAACUGCUGCAUCUGUACAGGAAGCUGGCGUCAGGAGAGGAAGUGCUCAUCCGAAAGGGAAGUCAGGGCUCAACGUGAAGAAACGUGAAGAAACGUUAACAGUGAGCUGUCGCCUCCAUCUCCCUCGAGAGAGAUCUGCCAUCACCGGCGGUUUCACUUUAUCAAUCCCCAAAGGAGAGGAAGACGCACCGACGUCAUCUCACAGCAGGAGGCGUUCACUGUCCUGGAGACCAAGACGAGAGUCUGCAUGUCCUCACGACAAACUGAACCACAGUGAUAACCAGCUGAUGGACGCCUCAGCGUCGCCUCCACAACAUGCCAACGAUGCAGCGGAGUCACUGGAAAACCUACA